CCAAUAGCGUAUAUUAAAGUUGUUGCAGUUAAAAAGCUCGUAGUUGAACCUCGGGGUCUACCCAUUGGUCAGGCUUAAUUGUCUGCACUGGUGAGAUGGAUCUCUACCUUCUGAGGAACUUUCAUGCCAUUUAUUUGGUGUGAUGGGAAAUCAGGACUGUUACUUUGAAAAAAUUAGAUUGUUUAAAGCAGACUAUCGUCUGAAUACAUUAGCAUGGAAUAAUGAAAUAGGACGGACUGAUUCUAUUUCGUUGGUUUCUAGGAUCACCGUAAUGAUUAAUAGGGAUAGUUGGGGGCAUUAGUAUUCAAUUGUCAGAGGUGAAAUUCUUGGAUUUAUUGAAGACUAACUACUGCGAAAGCAUUUGCCAAGGAUGUUUUCAUUAAUCAAGAACGAAAGUUAGGGGAUCGAAGACGAUCAGAUACCGUCGUAGUCUUAACCAUAAACUAUGCCGACUAGGGAUCGGACGAAGUUAAUUUUAUAAUGACGCGUUCGGCACCUUACG
RNAcentral lists this ribosomal RNA (502 nucleotides) under uncultured Glomeromycotina. Its description in RNAcentral is "partial small subunit ribosomal RNA". It matches the Rfam family "Eukaryotic small subunit ribosomal RNA", at positions 591 to 1092 of the family's 1831-position model. The record is from RNAcentral. Lineage: Eukaryota; Fungi; Glomeromycota.